Molecule: ribosomal RNA, 252 nt
Filed under: uncultured bacterium
Lineage: Bacteria
Description: partial 16S ribosomal RNA
Rfam family: Bacterial small subunit ribosomal RNA
Source: RNAcentral
CCAAAAGCUGGCGACCGGCGCACGGGUGAGUAACACGUAUCCAACCUGCCGAUAACUCGGGGAUAGCCUUUCGAAAGAAAGAUUAAUACCCGAUGGUAUAAUCAGACCGCAUGGUUUGAUUAUUAAAGAAUUUCGGUUAUCGAUGGGGAUGCGUUCCAUUAGGCAGUUGGUGAGGUAACGGCUCACCAAACCUUCGAUGGAUAGGGGUUCUGAGAGGAAGGUCCCCCACAUUGGAACUGAGACACGGUCCAA